Molecule: ribosomal RNA, 401 nt
Filed under: uncultured bacterium
Lineage: Bacteria
Description: bacterial SSU rRNA
Rfam family: Bacterial small subunit ribosomal RNA
Source: RNAcentral
CAGGGAAUAUUAGUAAUGGGCGAAAGCCUGAACUAGCAACGCCGCGUGUGCGAAGAAGGCCUUCGGGUUGUAAAGCACUUUUUGAGAGGAUGAGGAAGGACGGUACUCUCAGAAUAAGUCUCGGCUAACUACGUGCCAGCAGCCGCGGUAACACGUAGGAGGCGAACGUUAUCCGGAUUUACUGGGCGUAAAGCGCGUGUAGGUGGUUUGGUAAGUAGGGCGUGAAAGCUCCUGGCUCAACUGGGAGAGGCCGUUCUAAACUGCCGAACUAGAGGAUGGUAGAGGGAGGUGGAAUUCCGGGUGUAGCGGUGGAAUGCGCAGAUAUCCGGAGGAACACCAGUGGCGAAAGCGGCCUCCUGGACCACUCCUGACACUCAGACGCGAAAGCUAGGGUAGCAAAC